Long non-coding RNA from Manis javanica (Malayan pangolin), 824 nucleotides. RefSeq lists it as uncharacterized. The record is from RefSeq and is a predicted model, not a curated record. Lineage: Eukaryota; Metazoa; Chordata; Mammalia; Pholidota; Manidae.
CUGACUAGCAUGCCAUUGCCGUGGCUUGAGAGCCCAAGUGAGAGCUGGAGUAAGUACUUCAGGAGAUUAAAGAUUAAGGGAGCGAACAGAGUUCAACCCCACCUACCAGUUCCCUGAGAAAAGGCUAAUCUGCCUAGGAGGCCUCCCGCAGGUGCAGGUAAACCAGGUGUCAUCCAGCUCAUACUGGUCUGGCAGGUCGCUAAGGAGUCUGCAGCGUGGGCUCAGGAGAGGCAGGAGACACUUAAGUCCCUUUCAGAGAGGAUGAGGAACUAGCACACUGUCUUCCAGACUCAGACCCUGGAUAUCAUUGGACUGCUAAUGGAAAAUAGGGCCUGAGGCAGAGAUGGAAAGAACAACAUCCAAAAAAGAGGCGAUUCAACUCUACAACAAAGCCUGUGGGCAAGUUCAGACCAGAAACUCCCAAAACAAAAGGGGAUAUGACUGUCCUUGGCUGGGCCCCAAGCAUGAAGCCAAGACCUGUGCUGGAGUCUCAGAAAUGUCAGGGUCCAACCCCCUUGGUGAUCUGUGUAUGCCAUGUACAGGGGACCCUGGGAUCUGCACCACAGGACCUGAGGGGUAGGGGGCAAGGGGCAGGGGCAUGGAGCUAGCUGGGCAGAUCAACUGCCUGAUUUCUGGCCUGUAUCAUACUUUCUUCCGGAAGUCUUCUGGCUCAAUAAAGUCAUACCUCUUAGGUGCAGAUGGUUUUCAUUCCCAGAGGAAAGUCAGAACAAUGGGUAGUUUAAAAGGGGGGCACAGAAGGCCCAAAUCACCUUCUUGAAGAUGGCCAAAGCAGACCAACACUUCUCCACUUCUUGAGGGACAUC